Molecule: ribosomal RNA, 580 nt
Filed under: Clostridioides difficile
Lineage: Bacteria; Bacillati; Bacillota; Clostridia; Peptostreptococcales; Peptostreptococcaceae
Description: partial 23S ribosomal RNA
Rfam family: Bacterial large subunit ribosomal RNA
Source: RNAcentral
UUUAACUGAGCGUUCAGUUACUUGACGUAGACCCGAAACCGGGCGACCUACCCAUGAGCAGGAUGAAGCGAAAGUAAAAUUUCGUGGAGGUCCGAACCCACGAGCGUUGAAAAGCUCGGGGAUGACUUGUGGGUAGCGGUGAAAUUCCAAUCGAGCCCGGAGAUAGCUGGUUCUCCCCGAAAUAGCUUUAGGGCUAGCCUCAAGGUGAGAGAUACGGAGGUAGAGCACUGAAUGUCCUAGGGGGUAUUGCACCUACCGAAGACUAUCAAACUCCGAAUGCCGUCAUCUUAUACUUGGGAGUCAGACUGUGGGUGAUAAGAUUCAUAGUCGAAAGGGCAACAGCCCAGAUCGUCAGCUAAGGUCCCUAAAUGUAAGUUAAGUGGUAAAGGAUGUGGGAUUGCACAGACAACCAGGAUGUUGGCUUAGAAGCAGCCACUCAUUCAAAGAGUGCGUAAUAGCUCACUGGUCGAGUGAUCCUGCGCCGAAGAUUUCCGGGGCUAAAACUUACUACCGAAGCUACGGCAUCAGUAAUGAUGGGUAGGGGAGCUUCCCAUACGGGUUGAAGCAUGACCGUAAGGAC